This 695-nucleotide long non-coding RNA is filed under the name Chinchilla lanigera (long-tailed chinchilla). RNAcentral's name for it is "lncRNA (ENSCLAG00000025522.1)". Lineage: Eukaryota; Metazoa; Chordata; Mammalia; Rodentia; Chinchillidae. The record is from RNAcentral.
GGGAAUUAUGGCAUUUGAAUUCCAGUAGGGUUUGUGUCCAACCACUUCUAUUUUUCCUUUCAGAGCUCUACAUUGCUCAGACUUUGCCACGCCCAGCCUAAACUCUACUGUGUUUAGCAUAAAGCCUACGUUUCCCCCUGACAGACGGAAUUUUUAAGAGUUCCUAUCUCCGUUUGACUGUCACUAGAGACGAACUUCUGCGAGGUCUGCUUGAUAGCACCUAAACGCGAGCUCUUCAGCUGGUGCUUCAGACAGAAAAACGGGUUGUGGGAGGAGGAGAACCAGUUUCAGUGGCUGCAGGCCGCAUUUCACUGCGGAUAUAGAAAGCGUUACGUUGCCGAUAGAAAAGUGACAACAUAAUGAAUCAGCAGUGAUACCUUAAGCCAGCAAAGCUUCAAGGUAAGGAUGUUUAUUUGGAUUAUAAUUUAUUCAUGGAUAAAUCUAAAGCUAACUGAGCAUAUUAUGAAGUAAAGGGUUCUUGUUCCUACUAGAAGCAGGCACUGGUAUCACCCUGUUUAAACUGGAUAAUUUUGUGAAGAUGGCAGCAAGUUGGUUAACAGCAAGAGUUUAUAGUACUGUAAUGAAGUAACUCUAUUUCUUACUUAUAAUUUCUUAUCUGAUUGGAAACAAUAACAACAAAAAAGAAACAAUAAGAAGAAAAGUAAUUAUUUGAUAUUUAAAUGUUAAUAAUGUGA